GAUUCAUAAUAACUAAACGAAUCGCAUGGCCUUGCGCCGGCGAUGGUUCAUUCAAAUUUCUGCCCUAUCAACUUUCGAUUGUAAGAUAGAGGCUUACAAUGGUCUUAACGGGUAACGGGGAAUUAGGGUUCUAUUCCGGAGAGGGAGCCUGAGAAACGGCUACCACAUCCAAGGAAGGCAGCAGGCGCGCAAAUUACCCAAUGCUAAUUCAGCGAGGUAGUGACAAUAAAUACUGAUACGGGGCUCUUUCGGGUCUCGUAAUUGGAAUGAGUACAAUCUAAAUCCCUUAACGAGGAACAAUUGGAGGGCAAGUCUGGUGCCAGCAGCCGCGGUAAUUCCAGCUCCAAUAGCGUAUAUUAAAGUUGUUGCCGUUAAAAAGCUCGUAGUUGAACUUCAGGCCUGGCUGGGUGGUCUGCUUAACGGCAUGUACUGUCUGGCUGGGUCUUACCUCUUGGUGAGCCGGUGUGCCCUUUAUUGGUGUGCAUUGGGGAACCAGGACUUUUAC
This 505-nucleotide ribosomal RNA is filed under the name uncultured fungus. Its description in RNAcentral is "bacterial SSU rRNA". It matches the Rfam family "Eukaryotic small subunit ribosomal RNA", at positions 248 to 755 of the family's 1831-position model. The record is from RNAcentral. Lineage: Eukaryota; Fungi.